UUGGUGCUUCCUAUAAAAAGUAUGGGAUGUCUCAAAGAGAAGUGUGCUACACAACUGAGACUCUAUUACCUCUCCCCAACAGCUGGCAGCUCCCACACCUGGGUGAGAAUAAACUGGGCUCCUAGAGCACAUUCAGGGCAUACAGAUGGAGGUGAGCAUCAGUGGUUACACCUCACAGUGAACGCUUACUUAGCAGCCACACAUUCACCCAGACCUUACUAGAGAGUUUCAUUUAUCAAUAAUAGGGGAUUCUCCUGCAACGUGCUGGGAAGCUACAAUCAAGAGUUCCUUGAACCUGCUAUAGGCAACCUCACAGAAGUCCAGGAAGUGCUGUUACAUAAAAUGUUGCUACACAAGAAUAAAAUAUAGCAACCAGA
Coturnix japonica (Japanese quail) is the source of this 377-nucleotide long non-coding RNA. RefSeq lists it as uncharacterized. The record is from RefSeq and is a predicted model, not a curated record. NCBI's taxonomy places the organism in Eukaryota, Metazoa, Chordata, Aves, Galliformes, Phasianidae.